AUGCCUUUGCCUGUACCUAGUGUUCCUUGGGAGGAUAUAUCUAUGGACUUUGUUUUAGGUUUACCUCGAACAAAGAAGGGGAGGGAUAGCAUAUUUGUUGUCGUGGAUAGAUUCUCGAAAAUGGCACACUUUAUACCAUGUCAUAAAAGUGAUGAUGCUGUUAAUGUUGCUGAUUUGUUCUUUCGUGAAAUUAUUCGCUUGCAUGGUGUGCCAAAUACUAUUGUUUCAGAUCGUGAUACCAAAUUUCUUAGCCACUUUUGGAGAUGUUUAUGGGCUAAGUUGGGGACUAAACUGCUUUUUAGUACUACUUGUCACCCCCAAACUGAUGGACAAACUGAAGUAGUCAAUAGAACGUUGUCUACUAUGCUUAGGGCUGUUUUGAAGAAUAAUAAGAAAAUGUGGGAGGAAUGCUUGCCUCAUAUUGAAUUUGCUUAUAAUCGUUCAUUGCAUUCUACUACUAAGAUGUGCCCUUUUGAAGUUGUGUAUGGUUUCCUACCUCGUGCACCUAUUGAUUUGUUGCCUCUUCCAUCUUCGGAGAAGGUUAAUUUUGAUGCUAAACAACGUGCUGAAUUGAUUUUAAAAAUGCAUGAGUUAACUAAGGAAAACAUUGAGCGUAUGAAUGCUAAAUAUAAACUUGCUGGAGAUAAGGGUAGAAAACAUGUUGUGUUUGCACCUGGAGAUCUUGUGUGGUUACAUUUGCGUAAGGAUAGAUUUCCUGAUUUGCGCAAAUCAAAGUUAAUGCCACGUGCUGAUGGUCCCUUUAAGGUGUUAGAGAAAAUAAAUGAUAAUGCAUAUAAACUUGAGCUGCCUGCAGAUUUUGGGGUUAGUCCCACUUUUAACAUUGCAGAUUUGAAGCCUUAUUUGGGUGAGGAAGAUGAACUUCCGUCGAGGACGACUUCAUUUCAAGAAGGGGAGGAUGAUGAGGACAUCAAUACAAUUGUUACACACACAGCCCCUGCUGCUAUACAUACUGGACCAAUUACUAGAGCUCGUGCACGCCAACUAAAUUACCAGGUACUUUCGUUUCUUGGUAAUGAUUCUAAUGUUCAUGAGAAUAUGAUGCUGCCUAAAUUGGAUACAUUUGUUUUGCUUACAAAUGAAGGGCCUAGCUUGGAGAAGGAUGAACAUUGGAGCAAGAACAAGCAUGGAGAUGAUGGCAUGCGCAAGGGGAACAAGAACGGAGUUACAAGUGAUGAUUUCAGGACUUUGAAGCCACCAUAA
Molecule: ribosomal RNA, 1221 nt
Filed under: Triticum aestivum (bread wheat)
Lineage: Eukaryota; Viridiplantae; Streptophyta; Magnoliopsida; Poales; Poaceae
Description: partial small subunit ribosomal RNA
Source: RNAcentral